Anolis carolinensis (green anole) is the source of this 434-nucleotide long non-coding RNA. RefSeq lists it as uncharacterized. The transcript has 3 exons. NCBI's taxonomy places the organism in Eukaryota, Metazoa, Chordata, Lepidosauria, Squamata, Anolidae. The record is from RefSeq and is a predicted model, not a curated record.
GAAAAUGCAAUAGGACAAGCCCUGAGUCAACAACACACCAUAAGGCUUCUAAACAACUGAAAAUUGAUGAACUCUUCGGGGAGAGAACUAUAACAGAGGAGGAAAUGUUGGCCUGACCAAUGUUGUUGAACUCCAAUCAAACCUCACGGAAGAUGAAGGUAGCUGUAGUCCAAAAACAUCUGGAGGGCCACAAGUUUUCCACCCUGUCCGACGCAUACAAAAGAGAUAUUGAGCUACCGUGAGGUGCAGAGACUCUUUGGGGACCCUCCAAUGCCCAGCAAACUGUGGAAAAUAAAAAAAUGGAAAAUCAAAAGAAAUGGAAAAGAAUUUUCACAUCAAGCAAAAUUGAGAGGCUGUGUGACGCAUUUAGGACUACCCCUCAAAACUCUGUAAGGCAGUAAGGCAGAAUGAAAUAAAGUGCAUACUUCCUUUUU